AAAUAAUUGUAUAUCCAUGUCUACACCCAAGACAUGGAACUAGCCUAGAGUCCAUCAAUAGAGGAACAAAUAAAGAAAAUUGGGUGCAUAUACGCAAUGGAAUUUAAGGCUGCUCUGGAGAACAAAGCUAUCACUGGUGAACUCAGGAUGCAUUGACUGCAGUGCAGAAGAGAACUCAGGAUGCAUUGACUGCAGUGCAGAAGAGAACUCAGGAUGCAUUGACUGCAGUGCAGAAGAGAACUCAGGAUGCAUUGUCUGCAGUGCAGGAGAGAACUCAGGAUGCAUUGACUGCAGUGCAGAAGAGAACUCAGGAUGCAUUGUCUGCAGUGCAGGAGAGAACUCAGGAUGCAUUGUCUGCAGUGCAGAAGAGAACUCAGGAUGCAUUGUCUGCAGUGCAGGAGAGAACUCAGAAUGCAUUGUCUGCAGUGCAGAAGAGAACUCAGGAUGCAUUGUCUGCAGUGCAGGAGAGAACUCAGGAUGCAUUGUCUGCAGUGCAGGAGAGAACUCAGGAUGCAUUGUCUGCAGUGCAGGAGAGAACUCAGGAUGCAUUGACUGCAGUGCAGGAGAGAACUCAGGAUGCAUUGUCUGCAGUGCAGGAGAGAACUCAGGAUGCAUUGUCUGCAGUGCAGGAGAGAACUCAGGAUGCAUUGUCUGCAGUGCAGGAGAGAACUCAGGAUGCAUUGUCUGCAGUGCAGGAGAGAACUCAGGAUGCAUUGUCUGCAGUGCAGGAGAGAACUCAGGAUGCAUUGUCUGCAGUGCAGGAGAGAACUCAGGAUGCAUUGUCUGCAGUGCAGGAGAGAACUCAGGAUGCAUUGACUGCAGUGCAGGAGAGAACUCAGGAUGCAUUGUCUGCAGUGCAGGAGAGAACUCAGGAUGCAUUGACUGCAGUGCAGGAGAGAACUCAGGAUGCAUUGUCUGCAGUGCAGAAGAGAACUCAGGAUGCAUUGACUGCAGUGCAGGAGAGAACUCAGGAUGCAUUAUCUGCAGUGCAGGAGAGAAGACAUUUCUUUUUUGGGGAGGUGUGCAGCAACUUUAUUGAUGGUAUUCAAGAGAGUAGGGAGGGCUCCCUAGGCCCCUCCUGUUAUUAUGGGGCUGUGGGCUGGAAAUUGUGAGGAAGAUGCUCAGUGUUGAGGACUGAGUUGGGAUAGGGACUCCUCAGCAACCGAGGGCCUCUCACUUGCUCUCAGUGUCCUUGUUGGGGUAGGUGGUCCAGGGUUUCUUACUCCUUGGAGGCCAUGUAGGCCAUGAGGUCCACCACCCUGUUGCUGUAGCCAUAUUCAUUGUCAUACCAGGAAAUGAGCUUGACAAAGUUGUCAUUGAGAGCAAUGCCAGCCCCAGCAUCGAAGGUGGAAGAGUGGGAGUUGCUGUUGAAGUCACAGGAGACAACCUGGUCCUCAGUGUAGCCCAAGAUGCCCUUCAGUGAGCCCUCAGAUGCCUGCUUCACCACCUUCUUGAUGUCAUCAUACUUGGCAGGUUUCUCUAGGCGGCAUGCCAGGUCCACGACGGACACAUUGUGGGUAGGAACACGGAAGGCCAUGCCAGUGAGCUUCCCGUUCAGCUCUGGGAUGACCUUGCUCACAGCCUUGGCAGCAUCAGUGGGUGCAGGGAUGAUGUUCUGGGCAGCCCCACGACUAUCACGCCACAGCUUUCCAGAGGGGCCAUCCACAGUCUUCUGGGUGGCAGUGAUGGCAUGGACCGUGGUCAUGAGCCCUUCCACAAUGCCAAAGUUGUCAUGGAUGACCUUGGCCAGGGGGGCUAAGCAGUUGGUAGUGCAGGAUGCAUUGCUGACAAUCUUGAGUGAGUUGUCAUAUUUCUCGUGGUUCACACCCAUCACAAACAUGGGGGCAUCGGCAGAAGGGGCGGAGAUGAUGACCCUUUUGGCUCCCGUCACAAACAAGUGGGCCCCGGCCUUCUCCAUGGUGGUGAAGACACCAGUAGACUCCAUGACAUACUCAGCACCGGCCUCACCACAUUUGAUGUUAGUGGGGUCUCGCUCCUGGAAGACAGUGAUGGGCUUCCCGUUGAUGACGAGCUUCCCAUUCUCGGCCUUGACUGUGCCGUUGAAUUUGCCGUGGGUGGAGUCAUACUGGAACAUGUAGACCAUGUAGUUGAGGUCAAUGAAGGGGUCGUUGAUGGCAACAAUCUCCACUUUGCCAUGUGGAGAGCAGAAGGCAGCCCUGGUGACCAGGCGCCCAAUACGGCCAAAUCCGUUCACACCGACCUUCACCAUUUUGUCUACGGGACGAGGCUGGCACUGCACAAGAAGAUGCGGCUGUCUCUGGAACAGGGAGGAGCAGAGAGCCGAGAAGACAUUUCUAAUCUAGAAAAAUUUCUUCUGCCUUUUAAAAGCUAUCCUGCAUCUUUUAUAAGAUCCCUUCCUCUAACUGAGGGAUAGUAUAUCAUCCCUCAAAUAAUUGCUUUUACAUUUUAUUUUAUUCACUGUUGGAAAAUUGAAAAAUAUUUUGGCAAUAGAUUAGUAUCCAUGGAGGAAUUUUUUGUUUUUCCUUACUGAAUAUAUUUUUUUUUCUUCUCAAAACCAUCAUUCUUACUAAUGUUGGAGUUACUUUGUAGCUAUAGUUAGCCAUAGACUAAAGAAAUUUUUAAAAAUUCUAUGCUAGUUUGUAAAUGUUCAUAUCUUUCUCAAUCUUUGUCUCAUACACUUUCAAAACAGACUUACAAAAAAUGGCUUAAAAACAAAUGUAGUCUUUCUUCUUGGGCUCAAAGGAUUUUGAAGAAUAUAUUGAUGUGUACCCAAGCGAUUGGAGUAAUUUUCUGUAACAGGCUACAUUUAUGAGUGUGAUGUGUGUCUAACUCAUGUGGCCCUAAACUGAGACUAAUCCUGCAUUGUUCAAGCUUAUUAUAUGGGUUUAUGGUUGGUGAGUACAGUAGUAUGGUGGACCUAAACCCUGGGCCUCUGGACCCAUCAUGUAAGGUGAGGUGGGUGUGAAUGGACAUACAGGCACUGUGCACUGCAAGCACUCUUCAACAUCUGACUCUUAACAAUUAUAAAUGUAGCUGAGUUGUUGAUCUAUUGAAUGAGGAUAGAAAAUCACUCCUAUUUUAUGUAUAAAUAGAUUUCCUACUCACAGUUUGUGGAGAUGAGAGUAGAUGAUUAAGGCCAACAGGACAAUUCUAAUCAUUUAAUUUGGUGUCAGAACCUAGCUUAAACACAGGGAGUCCUCAUCAUAGGGAUGAGGUGUCCCUGAAUACAGAUUACAGAACUGGCUGCUUGGAUUAAUGAUGGCACAAGCCAGAGGAGUUAGGACUCUGAGGGAGCCUUUUAAGCCUAGGAGCUUUGCCAGGUGCAUCAAGGAGCUGAAAGAAUAGACCUCAAGUUACUACAGCAUCGGAGGGUGUGAGGAUGCCCCACACCAAGGUGGUUCUCCAACAAACCAUAGUUUUUGAAAAUAACACCUAACUGUUUAGACCAACAAAGCUAUUACCCUUUGUGAUGUCUACAUAGAUUUCUUUUCUCAUCUCCCUAUUGGACCAGCUCUCUUAAUAAAGACCCCAUUAUCUACUGACUAAAUAAAAUUAAUUUACCUUAUG
This 3549-nucleotide long non-coding RNA is filed under the name Mus musculus (house mouse). RNAcentral's name for it is "predicted gene, 47854". Lineage: Eukaryota; Metazoa; Chordata; Mammalia; Rodentia; Muridae. The record is from RNAcentral.